GUCAGUUUUCAAGGGCAAUUUCAAUAAAUUUCAUGUACAUGUGAGACGAUCUUUUUUCAGUUUAACAAGCUAAUGUCGUUGGUAGCUUUUUGAGCUGAAAAUAGAUUUGUGUAUAACUUGGCUUUGUGCAAAUUGUUUGCAGCAAUCCAGCGAAUUAUUCGAGUCAACAUCUGCUUACAAUGCGUAUGAAGCUCUGUCGUUUUGGAUGUGGUAUACCCGUGCCCAGGAGCUGUUGUAGACCAUGUGGGAUUUUAUCACCUGGCUGUGCGAAAUGCUGUUUUACUUACUUUGGGUUCUGCCCCGACAAUUGUUGCGGUCCGUGUUUUGAGUCAUGCUUUGAUCCGGCUUGGUUCACCUGGUUGGCGCCAAGAUAGUGUCGCCUCUCGCAUUGUCGCUAUGAAUAAUUCUGGUGGGUUAUUGCAAGAAUUGGCCAACAAUUUUCACUUAGUUGUAUUUGAACUAUUUGAUUUUAAGUAAUAAAGCCAAGGAGAAACCGA
Molecule: small RNA, 497 nt
Filed under: Drosophila virilis
Lineage: Eukaryota; Metazoa; Arthropoda; Insecta; Diptera; Drosophilidae
Description: GJ26892
Source: RNAcentral